Molecule: ribosomal RNA, 441 nt
Filed under: uncultured bacterium
Lineage: Bacteria
Description: bacterial SSU rRNA
Rfam family: Bacterial small subunit ribosomal RNA
Source: RNAcentral
GCACAACGCGAAGAACCUUACCAAGGCUUGACAUCCCCUUGACCGGCACAGAGAUGUGCCCUCUCCUUCGGGAGCAAGGGUGACAGGUGGUGCAUGGUUGUCGUCAGCUCGUGUCGUGAGAUGUUGGGUUAAGUCCCGCAACGAGCGCAACCCUUAUCCUUAGUUGCCAGCAGGUAAAGCUGGGCACUCUAAGGAGACUGCCGAUGAUAAAUCGGAGGAAGGUGGGGAUGACGUCAAAUCAUCAUGCCCCUUAUGUCUUGGGCUACACACGUGCUACAAUGGUCGGUACAAAGGGCAGCGAAGGAGUGAUCUGGAGCAAAUCCCAAUAAACCGAUCUCAGUUCGGAUUGUAGGCUGCAACUCGCCUACAUGAAGUCGGAGUUGCUAGUAAUCGCGAAUCAGAACGUCGCGGUGAAUGCGUUCCCGGGUCUUGUACACACCG